AUUGAACGCUGGCGGCAGGCCUAACACAUGCAAGUCGAGCGGAUGAAGGGAGCUUGCUCCUGGAUUCAGCGGCGGACGGGUGAGUAAUGCCUAGGAAUCUGCCUGGUAGUGGGGGAUAACGUCCGGAAACGGGCGCUAAUACCGCAUACGUCCUGAGGGAGAAAGUGGGGGAUCUUCGGACCUCACGCUAUCAGAUGAGCCUAGGUCGGAUUAGCUAGUUGGUGGGGUAAAGGCCUACCAAGGCGACGAUCCGUAACUGGUCUGAGAGGAUGAUCAGUCACACUGGAACUGAGACACGGUCCAGACUCCUACGGGAGGCAGCAGUGGGGAAUAUUGGACAAUGGGCGAAAGCCUGAUCCAGCCAUGCCGCGUGCGUGAAGAAGGUCUUCGGAUUGUAAAGCACUUUAAGUUGGGAGGAAGGGCAGAAAGUUAAUACCUUGCUGUUUUGACGUUACCAACAGAAUAAGCACCGGCUAACUUCGUG
This 484-nucleotide ribosomal RNA is filed under the name uncultured bacterium. RNAcentral's name for it is "partial 16S ribosomal RNA". It matches the Rfam family "Bacterial small subunit ribosomal RNA", at positions 30 to 507 of the family's 1533-position model. The record is from RNAcentral.